ACGCUCGACACCUACGGGAGGCUGCAGUGGGGAAUAUUGCACAAUGGGGGAAACCCGUGAUGCAGCGACGCCGCGUGGAGGAAGAAGGUCUUCGGAUUGUAAACUCCUGUUGUUGGGAAAAGAGGAUGGUACCCAACAAGGAAGUGACGGCUAACUACGUGCCGGCAGCCGCGGUAAUCUGAGGCGGGCGUGGCAAGGC
RNAcentral lists this ribosomal RNA (199 nucleotides) under uncultured bacterium. RNAcentral describes it as "partial 16S ribosomal RNA". It matches the Rfam family "Bacterial small subunit ribosomal RNA", at positions 328 to 544 of the family's 1533-position model. The record is from RNAcentral.